AUUAAGCUAAUAAAAAUAAAAAUGAAAAAGGAUUAAGGUUUAGAAACUGGCUAAUUCACGUUCAGACUUCCUUCCACCUUCUUCUAUCUCAAUUGAUUCCCAUGGCUCCCUCUCAAAAUCAUUCUUUCUCGCGAAUCUCCUCACAACUUCAUAUUCUCUCAACCGAACAACAAAUGGCGUAGAAACGAUUACUGCGCGGCUUGAAUUGCUUCUGCGAUGCGUUCGUGUUCAGAUCGAAAAUUACAAAUGGUGAAGUGGGUGAGAUUCAAGGCGGCUGGCGCGGCGUUGAUCGGAGUUGAACGGCGGCGCGGCCUGUCUGGUUUGGAUCUGGCCGAAUGUGCUUCUUGUUCGUCGUCGGCUGCGGUCUCGAUCUUAGUCUCUGAUCUUUCUCCCUUCUUCCUGCAAAAGAAGACAAACAAUGUGUUAUUGUGAUUUACGAUCCAUUUGAAUCGAUGCUUCAGUUGUGCUAAGCGAUGCCGUCAGUGAGGUUGCGAGCGAAUCAGUGUUGGCGAUUGGCCUCGUUCCGUCGGGGAGGAUGGUUGUGCGAGUUUGGAGGAUCAUCAGCACAGUAGUAGUUACGGAUCAGCGUUUUUCUCUUUGAAUCUGUUUAUGCCGCUAAGCUCUGUUGUUGUUGAUUUUAAAGCUUUGAUUGUUGUUACACCUGAAAACAAAACAAAUAGAAAAUUGUAAUUGAUUUUUGAUGUCAAUUGUAUAGUUGAUUUUGUUAAUUUUGCAGUAGAAAGUUUGUUAGUAAAUCUUUAUGUUUGUAUUCAUUGCUGUUAGUUGUAUGUUGAGAUAAGUGAUGAAGGUGGUUUGUAAUGAUAUUGACAAUGAUGGAAUUUGUGGGAAGAUCUAAGAAUGUGAAUAUAUGAGUUAGAAAAAAUAUAAUUAAAAAAAAAACACA
Molecule: long non-coding RNA, 904 nt
Organism: Vicia villosa (hairy vetch)
Lineage: Eukaryota; Viridiplantae; Streptophyta; Magnoliopsida; Fabales; Fabaceae
Exons: 2
Source: RefSeq, a predicted model, not a curated record